GGGGUAUAGCUCAGUUGGCUAGAGCACCUGCUUUGCAAGCAGGGGGUCGUCGGUUCGAAUCCGUCUAUCUCC
RNAcentral lists this transfer RNA (72 nucleotides) under Candidatus Cryptobacteroides faecigallinarum. It matches the Rfam family "tRNA". Rfam says of the family: Transfer RNA (tRNA) molecules are approximately 80 nucleotides in length. Their secondary structure includes four short double-helical elements and three loops (D, anti-codon, and T loops). Lineage: Bacteria; Pseudomonadati; Bacteroidota; Bacteroidia; Bacteroidales. The record is from RNAcentral. RNAcentral also lists the same sequence under 2 other names.